GCAGAAGUGGCGGAAUUGGUAGACGCGCACGGUUCAGGUCCGUGUGGGAGCAAUCUCUUGAGGGUUCAAGUCCCUUCUUCUGCA
Molecule: transfer RNA, 84 nt
Filed under: Lachnospiraceae bacterium
Lineage: Bacteria; Bacillati; Bacillota; Clostridia; Lachnospirales; Lachnospiraceae
Also listed under: 1 other name
Description: tRNA-Leu
Rfam family: tRNA
About the family: Transfer RNA (tRNA) molecules are approximately 80 nucleotides in length. Their secondary structure includes four short double-helical elements and three loops (D, anti-codon, and T loops). Further hydrogen bonds mediate the characteristic L-shaped molecular structure. tRNAs have two regions of fundamental functional importance: the anti-codon, which is responsible for specific mRNA codon recognition, and the 3' end, to which the tRNAs corresponding amino acid is attached (by aminoacyl-tRNA synthetases). tRNAs cope with the degeneracy of the genetic code in two manners: having more than one tRNA (with a specific anti-codon) for a particular amino acid; and 'wobble' base-pairing, i.e. permitting non-standard base-pairing at the 3rd anti-codon position.
Source: RNAcentral